Small nuclear RNA from Rattus rattus (black rat), 106 nucleotides. The record is from RefSeq and is a predicted model, not a curated record. NCBI's taxonomy places the organism in Eukaryota, Metazoa, Chordata, Mammalia, Rodentia, Muridae.
GUGCUCGCUUCAGCAGCACAUAUACCAAAAUUGGAACGACACAGAGAAGAAUAGCAAGGCCCGUACGCAACAAUGACACAUAAAUUCAUGAAGCUUCCAUAUUUUU